Nannospalax galili (Upper Galilee mountains blind mole rat) is the source of this 854-nucleotide long non-coding RNA. RefSeq lists it as uncharacterized. Lineage: Eukaryota; Metazoa; Chordata; Mammalia; Rodentia; Spalacidae. The transcript is spliced from 3 exons. The record is from RefSeq and is a predicted model, not a curated record.
GACUGGCCUCCUGCUGCAGGUCUUCCGGUCCUCGGGUCGUGCUGGUGGACGCUGUGUAGAGCCUUGGCCUGUGUCAAGUGAGCUGGUGUUCUGAGGACCACGCGCCGUCGGGUGCUCUCCAGAAGAGCUCUUCGCGGUGACUCCAGGGCUGAGACUCCACUUCCUAACGCCACACUGGUGCCCGUGCUCAGGAUGGAACCCAGGGGAAUCAAACCAAAGACAGUGCUGCAGCUUGAACUCAGAGCUUCACAGAACUACUGAGCUACAUCCCUGCCUACCCAUCUCAUUUUGUUUCAAGGAGCUAUUAGAUGAGUCCUUUUGCUUGCUAGGAGGUUCUGCAUUCAUCUGUGUUGGUGUUUUUGUAUUGAGACCAUACUAAAAGGAAACAGGGUAAUAUGGAGCCAUUAUCAAUAGUCCAGGCUGGCCCAGAAGUCAUAAUGCUCCUAUCUUAGCCUCCCACUUGCUGACCAAAAAUAUCUUUAUGAACAUUAUGAAGUUAUCUAUGGUUCCAUCAAUUCUGCUAUAACCAAAAUCACAAUUACCUUAUUAAAAUGCAAUAUAAAUAACAGUGAAAUAGUAUUAUUACAAUUCAUUCAAAUGGCUAAAAUUAUCAAGCUUGAUAACACAAAGUCUUUGGAGAAUGUGGAACAUGGGAAUGCAAACAUUUUCACCUCAGAAACCAGUGUAACAUCAUCUCCCAAAGUUUGUAUCCAUGAUUCAACUACUUUUGUCUAGCUAUAUAACAAACAGAAAUGUACAUAUACAAUAAAAGGUACAUGAAGUUGUAGUAGCAUUUUUGGUAAUGACUUCAAGCUGUAAACAACUCCAAAUCUAUUGUAAAUACAUUGUGACAU